AUUGACCUCCAUAGGUUGAACCGUGGCAAUGCUCUAGAACUCCAUUAACCUCCUCUUCAACUAUGCAUCUGCUAAACAACCCAUCUGACCCUUUCUAGUAAAAAUAAGGCUCAUCCCAAAAGUAUUGAUUCACAUCCCGAAAGAAUUUUUUUUUUUCUAGUAGGAAGAACCCCGCUGACCUUGUAGUUAACAAUGUCAACAUACCACGGGAAAUUGUCCCCACUUAUUUCCAUACAAAUGUUAUGUGCCUCUACCCAUAUACCAUAGCACUUGGGACAUGAAAUCUACCAUUGUAUAGGAAAUGGGUAAGCAUCCAUGACAGGGGAUGGAAUUGAUGAAGAAGGAUUAGC
Molecule: long non-coding RNA, 350 nt
Filed under: Capsella rubella
Lineage: Eukaryota; Viridiplantae; Streptophyta; Magnoliopsida; Brassicales; Brassicaceae
Description: long non-coding RNA (CRUB_LNC003135)
Source: RNAcentral